CCUCAUCUACUUAAGCAUCAAAUAAAAUUGGUAUGAUAUAGAGAAGAUAAGUGUCCCCCCUGCACAAGGAUGACACACAAAUUGAGAAAUUGUCCAAAUUUUU
RNAcentral lists this small nuclear RNA (103 nucleotides) under Amborella trichopoda. Lineage: Eukaryota; Viridiplantae; Streptophyta; Magnoliopsida; Amborellales; Amborellaceae. The record is from RNAcentral.